RNAcentral lists this ribosomal RNA (478 nucleotides) under uncultured bacterium. Its description in RNAcentral is "partial 16S ribosomal RNA". It matches the Rfam family "Bacterial small subunit ribosomal RNA", at positions 28 to 523 of the family's 1533-position model. The record is from RNAcentral.
GACGAACGCUGGCGGCGUGCUUAACACAUGCAAGUCGAACGGUAAGGCCCUUCGGGGUACACGAGUGGCGAACGGGUGAGUAACACGUGGGUGAUCUGCCCUGCACUUCGGGAUAAGCCUGGGAAACUGGGUCUAAUACCGGAUAGGACCACUGCCUGCAUGGGUGGUGGUGGAAAGCUUUUGCGGGGUGGGAUGGGCCCGCGGCCUAGCAGCUUGUUGGUGGGGUGAUGGCCUACCAAGGCGACGACGGGUAGCCGGCCUGAGAGGGUGACCGGCCAAAGUGGGACUGAGAUACGGCCCAGACUACUACGGGAGGCAGCAGUGGGGAAUAUCGCACAAUGGGCGCAAGCCUGAUGCAGCGACGCCGCGUGAGGGAUGACGGCCUUCGGGUUGUAAACCUCUUUCAGCACCGACGAAGCGCAAGUGACGGUAGGUGCAGAAGAAGGACCGGCCAACUACGUGCCAGCCGCCGCGGUAA